UGGCUGAGCGGUAAAGCGCUUGGCUUCCGAACAGGGGUCCUGGGUACGAAUCCUAG
This 56-nucleotide transfer RNA is filed under the name Biomphalaria glabrata. It matches the Rfam family "tRNA", at positions 8 to 63 of the family's 71-position model. From Rfam's summary of the family: Transfer RNA (tRNA) molecules are approximately 80 nucleotides in length. Their secondary structure includes four short double-helical elements and three loops (D, anti-codon, and T loops). Further hydrogen bonds mediate the characteristic L-shaped molecular structure. tRNAs have two regions of fundamental functional importance: the anti-codon, which is responsible for specific mRNA codon recognition, and the 3' end, to which the tRNAs corresponding amino acid is attached (by aminoacyl-tRNA synthetases). tRNAs cope with the degeneracy of the genetic code in two manners: having more than one tRNA (with a specific anti-codon) for a particular amino acid; and 'wobble' base-pairing, i.e. permitting non-standard base-pairing at the 3rd anti-codon position. The record is from Rfam by way of RNAcentral. Lineage: Eukaryota; Metazoa; Mollusca; Gastropoda; Planorbidae.